GACGAACGCUGGCGGCGUGCUUAACACAUGCAAGUCGAGCGGUAAGGCCCUUUCGGGGGUACACGAGCGGCGAACGGGUGAGUAACACGUGGGUGACCUGCCCUCAGCUCUGGGAUAAGCCCGGGAAACUGGGUCUAAUACUGGAUAUGACUCCAUGACGCAUGUUGUGGGGUGGAAAGCCUUGUGCGGCUGAGGAUGGGCCCGCGGCCUAUCAGCUUGUUGGGGGGUGAUGGCCUACCAAGGCGACGACGGGUAGCCGGCCUGAGAGGGCGGCCGGCCACACUGGGACUGAGACACGGCCCAGACUCCUACGGGAGGCAGCAGUGGGGAAUCUUGCGCAAUGGGCGAAAGCCUGACGCAGCGACGCCGCGUGAGGGAUGACGG
This 384-nucleotide ribosomal RNA is filed under the name uncultured bacterium. RNAcentral's name for it is "bacterial SSU rRNA". It matches the Rfam family "Bacterial small subunit ribosomal RNA", at positions 28 to 414 of the family's 1533-position model. The record is from RNAcentral.